AUGUAUGUAUGUAUGCAUGCAUGCAUGCAUGUAUGUUUAUAUGUAUGUGCAUAUCUUGUAAGU
Molecule: microRNA precursor, 63 nt
Filed under: Notamacropus eugenii (tammar wallaby)
Lineage: Eukaryota; Metazoa; Chordata; Mammalia; Diprotodontia; Macropodidae
Description: miRNA (ENSMEUG00000017405.1)
Source: RNAcentral